GAUGAACGCUGGCGGCGUGCCUAAUACAUGCAAGUCGAGCGAACAGACGAGGAGCUUGCUCCUCUGACGUUAGCGGCGGACGGGUGAGUAACACGUGGAUAACCUACCUAUAAGACUGGGAUAACUUCGGGAAACCGGAGCUAAUACCGGAUAAUAUAUUGAACCGCAUGGUUCAAUAGUGAAAGACGGUUUUGCUGGCACUUAUAGAUGGAUCCGCGCCGCAUUAGCUAGUUGGUAAGGUAACGGCUUACCAAGGCGACGAUGCGUAGCCGACCUGAGAGGGGGAUCGGCCACACUGGAACUGAGACACGGUCCAGACUCCUACGGGAGGCAGCAGUAGGGAAUCUUCCGCAGUGGGCGAAAGCCUGACGGAGCAACGCCGCGUGAGUGAUGAAGGUCUUCGGAUCGUAAAACUCUGUUAUUAGGGAAGAACAAAUGUGUAAGUAACUAUGCACGUCUUGACGGUACCUAAUCAGAAAGCCACGGCUAACUACGUG
This 497-nucleotide ribosomal RNA is filed under the name uncultured bacterium. RNAcentral describes it as "partial 16S ribosomal RNA". It matches the Rfam family "Bacterial small subunit ribosomal RNA", at positions 28 to 507 of the family's 1533-position model. The record is from RNAcentral.